AUUGAACGCUGGCGGCAGGCCUAACACAUGCAAGUCGAACGAGUGGCGGACGGGUGAGUAAUGUCUGGGAACCUGCCCGCUGGUGGGGGAUAACUACUGGAAACGGUAGCUAAUACCGCAUACCAUCGGAUGUGCCCAGCUGGGAUUAGCUAGUAGGUGGGGUAACGGAUCACCUAGGCGACGAUCCCUAGCUGGUCUGAGAGGAUGACCAGCCACACUGGAACGGAGACACGGUCCAGACGCCUACGGGAGGCAGCAGUGGGGAAUAUUGUACAAUGGGAGCAAGCCUGAUGCAGCCAUGCCGCGUGUAGGAAGAAGGCCUUCGGGUUUUAAAGUACUUUCAGCUGGGAGGCGUUACUCGCAGAAGAAGCACCGGCUAACUCCGUGCCAGCAGCCGCGGUAAUAC
RNAcentral lists this ribosomal RNA (406 nucleotides) under uncultured bacterium. Its description in RNAcentral is "partial 16S ribosomal RNA". It matches the Rfam family "Bacterial small subunit ribosomal RNA", at positions 30 to 526 of the family's 1533-position model. The record is from RNAcentral.